GCUGAGUUCGCGACCUCGAGUUGUAAUCUGGCGGGGCGCCACUAAGCCGGCGCAGGCCUUCGCAAGAUGGCGGCUGGAGGCAAGGGCAGAGGCCUUCAGAGCGUUUUCUUUUUCCCUUUCCUCCCUUCCUGCAAACAAUUGAGGAAACUGAGGCACUGGAAGAUGAAGGCUACAGAGGUAGAAAGUGAUGGAGGCUGGAGUGCAAUGGCGUGAUCCCAGCUUGUUGCAACCUCUGCCUCUCGGCUUCAAGCAGUUCUUCUGCCUCAGCCUCCAGAGUAGCUG
RNAcentral lists this long non-coding RNA (282 nucleotides) under Homo sapiens (human). Its description in RNAcentral is "non-protein coding LINC02453:18". The record is from RNAcentral. Lineage: Eukaryota; Metazoa; Chordata; Mammalia; Primates; Hominidae.